Molecule: unclassified non-coding RNA, 328 nt
Filed under: uncultured Thanatephorus
Lineage: Eukaryota; Fungi; Basidiomycota; Agaricomycetes; Cantharellales; Ceratobasidiaceae
Description: sequence contains ITS2
Source: RNAcentral
AACGCACCUUGCGCUCCUUGGUAUUCCUUGGAGCAUGCCUGUUUGAGUAUCAUGAAAUCUUCAAAGCAAACCUUUUGUUAAUUCAAUCGGUCUCUUGCUUUGGUAUUGGAGGUCUUUGCAGCUUCACACCUGCUCCUCUUUGUUCAUUAGCUGGAUCUCAGUGUUAUGCUUGGUUCCACUCGGCGUGAUAAGUUAUCUAUCGCUGAGGACACCGUAAAAAAGUGGCCAAGGUAAAUGCAGACGAACCGCUUCUAAUAGUCCAUUGACUUGGACAAUUAAAUUUUUAUGAUCUGAUCUCAAAUCAGGUAGGACUACCCGCUGAACUUAA